Molecule: long non-coding RNA, 1145 nt
Filed under: Homo sapiens (human)
Lineage: Eukaryota; Metazoa; Chordata; Mammalia; Primates; Hominidae
Description: HSALNT0351605
Source: RNAcentral
CUAGUCCGGGCCUUGGGGGAGUCCCCGGAGUCCCCGUGGCUUUCCAGCUCCAGGCUCGGGAGAGGGUGACCUUGGAGCCGGGAUUUCACUUCUACAGCGCUGUGGUGCCGGGGGGACAGGGAGAAGGGCUCCCUGGCCCCCAGUUCACGAGGAGAAGGGGCCUUGACCGGUCAGGACCACCACCCUACGACGCCGCUCAGCUCUGGGCGAUUCUCUCCUCCCUUGCUGAAGCAGGCAUUGAGAGCCUGCGUUCCUCCCGCUCUGUUUCCGUUUAGGUAAAAUGGAUAGAAUAAUAGUACUUACCUCAAAGGAUUGUUGAAGAGAAUCAACAAGAUGAUAUCCCUGAAGCACUGGGAAUAGUGUCUGGCACACAGCACUCUCCCAGGAGCACACCGCGGCGCUAGAGAAGACCAGGAAAAAGGACCUGAGCCAGCUUGCCGUCUUAACAAAAAUUUCAAACUUUGCAAAGCGGUAUACCUUCUUAUUCUCCAGUUCAGUAUUGCCAGUGAAGUCAUACUGAACGCAGACAAGGAAAAGAAAGAAAAAGAAACUCAAUGAGAUAUGUUGUCAUCUUCCCUGUUUUAUGGAUGAAGUUCUAAGUAGAGGUUCGGAGAAGGAGCCCAACUGUUGUAUUUAGACUAAGAUGCUCAAAUAUUCUGCUAAAUGAAGCCACAGCUGCUCUGUCAGAAACAUCACGUUAAAAUGUGAAACGAUUUGGCAAUGUUCUGAGGACGACUUUCAUUUCAUGAGCUACAAAACCACUCUGGAUGUCAUGAGGACUUUGAGAAGCUCUUGCAGUUCUUGAAGAGGGGCCAGGAAAGCAGAGGCCAGCUGCAGCUGAGCAAAGUAGAAUGAUGUUCAGCCUCAGAACGUAGCCACCUUGCUGUGAGAAAGCCCAACCAUCUUGUACAGCGAGACCACAUGGAGAGGCGCAUGUGGAAAGGAACGGAGGCUACAAGCCGAUAGCCAGCAUCGACUGCCAGGCACGGAGAGUGAGUCUUCAGAUGAAUCCAGCCUCAGCCUAGAGUCUUUUGUCUCAGGCCCCAGACACUGUGGAGCAGGGACAAGCCAUCCCCACUGUGUCCCACCCGCAUUCCUGAUCCACAGAAUCUAUGAGCACAAUAAAUAGUUGCUUUAUGGCAGAG